UUGGACCUGAUAUCAGGUAAGA
RNAcentral lists this ribosomal RNA (22 nucleotides) under Pythium aphanidermatum. Its description in RNAcentral is "partial 28S ribosomal RNA". RNAcentral also lists the same sequence under 1 other name. The record is from RNAcentral. Lineage: Eukaryota; Oomycota; Peronosporomycetes; Pythiales; Pythiaceae.